Molecule: small nuclear RNA, 106 nt
Organism: Capra hircus (goat)
Lineage: Eukaryota; Metazoa; Chordata; Mammalia; Artiodactyla; Bovidae
Source: Ensembl
GUACUCACUUCAGCAGGGCAUAUACUAAAACUGGAGCCAUACAAAGAAGAUUAGCAUGGCCCCUGUGAAGGAUGACACGCAGAUUCAUGAAGCAUUCCAUAUUUUU